GAUGAAGAACGUAGCGAAAUGCGAUAAGUAAUGUGAAUUGCAGAAUUCAGUGAAUCAUCGAAUCUUUGAACGCACAUUGCGCCCCUUGGUAUUCCGGGGGGCAUGCCCGUUCGAGCGUCAUUUGUACCUUCAAGCUUUGCUUGGUGUUGGGUGUUUGUCUCGCCUCUGCGUGUAGACUCGCCUUAAAACAAUUGGCAGCCGGCGUAUUGAUUUCGGAGCGCAGUACAUCUCGCGCUUUGCACUCAUAACGACGACGUCCAAAAGUACAUUUUUACACUCUUGACCUCGGAUCAGGUAGGGAUACCCGCUGAACUUAAGCAUAUCAAUAAGCGGAGGA
Molecule: unclassified non-coding RNA, 337 nt
Filed under: soil metagenome
Description: partial contains 5.8S ribosomal RNA, internal transcribed spacer 2, and large subunit ribosomal RNA
Rfam family: 5.8S ribosomal RNA (bases 1-120)
Source: RNAcentral